This is a long non-coding RNA of Penaeus monodon (black tiger shrimp), 275 nucleotides long. RefSeq lists it as uncharacterized. The transcript has 3 exons. The record is from RefSeq and is a predicted model, not a curated record. NCBI's taxonomy places the organism in Eukaryota, Metazoa, Arthropoda, Malacostraca, Decapoda, Penaeidae.
AGCGUGGGCCGGCACCAGGAGAGGACGAGCGAGAGACUCCGGGAGGGACGGAGAGAGAGAGACAGCGAACACGAGCGGGAGAGCACAGUUCCGGAAGAAUGAAAGCGGACGUGACAGUUCUCCUGGUGACCCUGAUGGGCGUGGCCUCAGCGAGCCCGAAGCCCCUGUCGGCGCUGCACAAGAGAGAAGCACCGGCGCCGUACAGCCCAGCGGCCCCUGAGGACCAAGUGUUGGUCCGAGAAAAACGCCAAGAUGAGCCAGCAACAAAUCCAGGU